This is a non-coding RNA of Sus scrofa (pig), 1945 nucleotides long. The record is from RefSeq and is a predicted model, not a curated record. Lineage: Eukaryota; Metazoa; Chordata; Mammalia; Artiodactyla; Suidae.
AUGCCACGUGUGUAGCCCUAUAAAGCAAAAAAAUCAAUCAAUCAAAUAAUAAAUAAAUAAAGCCAUUAUAUUUGGGUUAAAAAAAAUUUUAAAUCCCUCUCCCCAAUGGGGUGAGAAGUUGAUCUGUGAAUUUAGCUCCCACUUCUCCAGUCUUUAACCACUGGAUUCAGCCUGUGCUACAACCAUCGCAGCUUCAGUUUCAUCAUUGGUUGCUUGAACCCCAACAGAAAAGGAACCCUCUCCCACUGAGGCCAAGAGCCUGGCCAGGCUAGGACUGAAGUACGUCCACACACCUGUAAGUCAGGGACACAGCUUUCACCUUCUUUGUCCUCAGUUUUAUGGACACCUUCCCAGGUAUCCUAUAACUCUACUGUGUGGCUGUCACUGUCCUGACAGCUUGGGGAGGUAGGUUUGCGUGCUGGCCAUUUCCCUCUCCAGGGCCUCACCUGGUAACCACCCUUGGUAGGGGUCUGACAAGGGAACCAGGGGAUAGGUGACAUUUUCUAAGCCCGCUAGCGCUGUCUCGCCCUAUCGGAUGCUACCAACCGAAAAGCUCUCCAUCCCUCUGGCUGUGGCCCUGCCCCUCUGUUCUGUCACUUUAAAGGCUCAGACUUUGAGGCACAAACAAUAGACAAGUAAGGAGAGGUUCAAGGGUAGGGCUGUGGAGCCACUCAAGUUCCCCCUCAGCGUCCUUCUCACUUCCCCGCUCUGGUCUCAGUUCCACUUGGAGAGACAGGAGGAUGGGAAAGGCAGCCAGACUUCACAGGUCAGAAACACAGGGGGCUUUCCAGUCUGCCAAGGCCAGUGGUCUCCCUCUGCAGGAGGCCAUCAGCCUUCAGGACGUUCCUCCCUGCCCCUGUCAGACCCUCUGCCCAGCGGGCUCGUGGUGGGGAAGUAAGCUCCCCCGAGCUGCCUCCAGCCUCUGCGGAGGUAACAGUCCUGCGAGCCGAAGGGCUGCCUGAGGGGGACUCGGUGUCUGAGAUGAGCGCAGUGGUCCAGAAGCUUCCUGGCUCCUGGGGUGUCCUCGCCACAGCCCCCGUAAGGGAGCCACGAUGACAGGCUACUGGGGCAGAGGAAGGACCAGAACUACCUUAUUCCACCAGCAUCCCCCUGCUGAGCUGAGAAACUCCUGCCCCCCAGUCUCCACUUGGGGGAGGAUGCUCAGUGUUGGCUUAUCUGGAAUUGAGGGCACAGGGUGUGCCCUGCUCAGGAAAACAGGUGAGAGAACCAGGAAGGCAGACAUUUCACGCUGCUGCAACCCAUUGACCUACUCCUUAGAAAUGCCCCUUCCCUGCCAUCGAGAGAUGGGGCGUUCCCUCUUUGAGCUCAUGGAUAUUUUUUUCUGUUCUAUAAUAGCAAGAAGUUUUAAUGAUGUGAAACUGCCCAUAAGCCAUUUUUCCCAGAUCCCGUGGUCAUGCUGAUAACAUUUGUGGGUUUGCAACAAAUAACCAGAAAGAAGCAGAAGCAGUUCCACAAACACAACUCGCGGAACAUCGACUCUCCUUCUCUGGGAAAGAAAUCCAGCAGAAUGUAAGGACUGGCUUUCUGAACUCUCCAGAAGGAAAAUCUACAUGCUUGGCAUUUGGAAAGUUCUAGAAAUGGAGAAGAAACAGCCCCGAACACUGGAAGAUGGAUGGGUGCUCUAGAAAUGGACAGCUGUGAUAUACUUGAAGAGGUUUUGCUGGAAAAAACUGCCUUGAUUUGUCACUGCAAGGGGGUGAAAUUUCUUUCAUGGAAGCCUGCCCCAUAUCCUUGUUAUAGGAGAUAGUCAAGACCAAACACUGGCUGUGGGUAACUCAGCUGGCAUCCCUUCAAAAUGGCAUUCUUUAAAUAUUUUUUCAACAUUUUCUAAGUGGGGGCAGAGAGAAGAGAUUGUCUAUGAAUAAAACUGUAUAUCUCUUCCUUUAUGUUCAGAAGAAAGGAUGUAUUAUAUACCUGUGAAAAA